Molecule: unclassified non-coding RNA, 1229 nt
Filed under: Hevea brasiliensis (rubber tree)
Lineage: Eukaryota; Viridiplantae; Streptophyta; Magnoliopsida; Malpighiales; Euphorbiaceae
Source: RNAcentral
UGGGAACAUUGUUUAUGAGACAUCGAAUGUGUUUGACCGGAUGGUGGUUGUGCUAAAUGACAUUCAUAUUGACAUCAUGGAUUAUAUAUCCCCUGCAGUGUGCAGUGAUGCUGCUUUUAGAACCAUGUGGGCAGAAUUUGAGUGGGAAAACAAGGUUGCUGUCAACACUGUCAUUCAAGAUGAAAAAGAUUUUCUUGACCAUAUAAUCAAAUCAACCAACAUGAAGUGCCUUACUGCGCUGUCUGCUUUGGAAGGGGAAUGCGGGUUUCUCGCUGCUAACUUGUAUGCAAAGAGCGUGUUUGGCGAGGAUGCUUUGGUGAAUGUAAGCAUUGAGAAACAAGCAGAUAGUAAGCUGAGUGGCUACAUUAGGAUUAGGAGCAAGACCCAAGGAAUUGCUCUUAGCUUGGGAGACAAAAUAACACUCAAGCAGAAGGGAGGCUGGGGGAAUUGCAAUGGUGUCAGAAACCCUUAAAGAGCAUGGCGGUGCAGAGGCAGCAAGUUUGAGGAUUGCAGAGCAGUAUAUCCAAGCCUUCAGUAAUAUUGCAAAGGAGGGCACAACGUUGUUGCUUCCUACAAAUGCUUCUGAUCCUGCUAGCAUGAUGUCUCAAGCUCUUGCCGUUUAUAAAAACGUAGUGAGCAAGAACCUUGGCACUCAGCUUCCUGUGACCUCUCAAUCCAAGUUGACCAAAAACACCAGGCAGAGUGAUUCAUCUGCAGUAAGCGGCGAUGACAGCUCUCUUACUGCAAAUUCUGCUGAUGAUCAUCAUCUGAGUGAUCCCAUUUUCUCGCUGCAAAGCCAAAAAAAGGAUGACUGAAUUUUCUUAGCUUUGUGAGUAAGUAGCCUUGCAUGCAUCGAAUUCCUGAGUAGAUAAUUUGGCAAUGAUAAAGAGUGCCUAUUCUUUUGGCGUAGAGCUCUGACUUGCAUGCAUCAUUUUGGUGACAACUCUUUUUUCUGACAACGGCUGCUGAGUUCUGGAUGAGGCUUCUUGGAAAGUAGAAAAGUGGUAGUAAAAAAUUGAAAUGGAAAAAGUGGUAGUUAGGGGUCAUUAUACUGAUCGACUCUCCUUCAAAUUUUGAAGGAUGAUGCAUUUCCAGAGGUUUAUUGUUUGGAGAACUUUAAAGCGUGUGGGAAACAUGUACUUUUCAGUCGCCACUUUUAUAUGCUUUUUUUACAUACGUUUUUCUGGAGACUCAAACUAAUGACAGAAAAGUUUCAUUGUUCAAUAACC